GAUGAACGCUAGCUACAGGCUUAACACAUGCAAGUCGAGGGGUCUCAACGGAGCUUGCUUCAGCGAGACGACCGGCGCACGGGUGCGUAACGCGUAUCCAACCUUCCCGUUACUCAUGGAUAGCCUUCCGAAAGGGAGAUUAAUACAUGAUGGUGUUGAAAUUCCGCAUGUUAUUCAACUAAAGAUUUAUCGGUAACGGAUGGGGAUGCGUUCCAUUAGCUUGUUGCGGGGUAACGGCCCACCAAGGCUUCGAUGGAUAGGGGGUUCUGAGAGGAAGGUCCCCCACACUGGAACUGAGACACGGUCCAGACUCCUACGGGAGGCAGCAGUGAGGAAUAUUGGUCAAUGGUCGGAAGACUGAACCAGCCAAGUAGCGUGAAGGAUGAAGGUUCUAUGGAUUGUAAACUUCUUUUGUAUGGGAAUAAAGCCCGCUACGUGUAGCGGUUUGUAUGUACCAUACGAAUAAGCAUCGGCUAACUCCGUG
Molecule: ribosomal RNA, 484 nt
Filed under: uncultured bacterium
Lineage: Bacteria
Description: bacterial SSU rRNA
Rfam family: Bacterial small subunit ribosomal RNA
Source: RNAcentral